CACAUUGCCUGCCCAGACUUCUCAGGAGAGAACAUAGAAGAUCUCAGUGCUAAGAAAAGCUGUCAGAUAAAUCAUGUCACCCAUGUGAUGCACGCAAAAUCAUUAUUUGCAAAAGCUCCAAACACAGUAGCACUUAAUGGAGGUUUCCAAAGGCUGAAAUCAGUCUCUUUAGUCACUAAAGGAAGAUUCACUAUCAGAACUGUCUUCUGCAUUCCCAUCAUCUCCCCAGGCAGGCACAGGGGCAUCUGGAGUCUCAAGAAGAUCUGGAUUUAGCCCCUCAGAAAUCAUUUUGUUUCGUAUGGCCAUAACAGGAACACCCACUUGUACCAUUUUGAGAUAUCUGGCAUAUCUUGGGUCUUUGGCCACAGUUCUCAUAUUUUCUGUUACUAUCUCUGUUUUCUGUAGUGCUUCUUCA
RNAcentral lists this long non-coding RNA (415 nucleotides) under Gallus gallus (chicken). Lineage: Eukaryota; Metazoa; Chordata; Aves; Galliformes; Phasianidae. The record is from RNAcentral.